GUCCAUGCCGUAAACGUUGGGCACUAGGUGUGGGGACAUUCCACGUUUUCCGCGCCGUAGCUAACGCAUUAAGUGCCCCGCCUGGGGAGUACGGCCGCAAGGCUAAAACUCAAAGGAAUUGACGGGGCCCGCACAAGCGGCGGAGCAUGCGGAUUAAUUCGAUGCAACGCGAAGAACCUUACCAAGGCUUGACAUGUGCUAGAUCGCCAUAGAAAUAUGGUUUCCCCUUUGGGGCUGGUUCACAGGUGGUGCAUGGUUGUCGU
RNAcentral lists this ribosomal RNA (263 nucleotides) under uncultured bacterium. RNAcentral describes it as "partial 16S ribosomal RNA". It matches the Rfam family "Bacterial small subunit ribosomal RNA", at positions 793 to 1055 of the family's 1533-position model. The record is from RNAcentral.